AGAGUUUGAUCCUGGCUCAGAUUGAACGCUGGCGGUAUGCUUAACACAUGCAAGUCGAACGGUAGCGCGGAGAGCUUGCUCUCUGGCGACGAGUGGCGGACGGGUGAGUAACGCGUGGGAAUCUACCUAAUAGUCGGGGACAACUUGGGGAAACUCAAGCUAAUACCGGAUGUGGUCUACGGACUAAAGAGGGGGAUCUUCGGACCUCUCGCUAUCAGAUGAGCCCGCGUUAGAUUAGCUAGUUGGUGGGGUAAAGGCCCACCAAGGCGACGAUCUAUAGCUGGUCUGAGAGGACGAUCAGCCACACUGGGACUGAGACACGGCCCAGACUCCUACGGGAGGCAGCAGUGGGGAAUAUUGGACAAUGGGCGCAAGCCUGAUCCAGCAAUACCGCGUGUGUGAAGAAGGCCUGCGGGUUGUAAAGCACUUUCAAUUGUGAAGAAAAGCCUAAGGUUAAUAGCCUUGGGUCUUGACGUUAACUUUAGAAGAAGCACCGGCUAACUCCGUGCCAGCAGCCGCGGUAAUACGGAGGGUGCGAGCGUUAAUCGGAAUUACUGGGCGUAAAGCGUGCGUAGGCGGAUUGUUAAGUCAGAUGUGAAAGCCCCGGGCUCAACCUGGGAACUGCAUUUGAUACUGGCAGUCUUGAGUGUAGUAGAGGGGGGUAGAAUUCCUAGUGUAGCGGUGAAAUGCGUAGAUAUUAGGAGGAAUACCAGUGGCGAAGGCGGCCCCCUGGACUAACACUGACGCUGAGGUACGAAAGCGUGGGGAGCAAACAGGAUUAGAUACCCUGGUAGUCCACGCCGUAAACGAUGUCAACUAGUCGUUGGGUCCUUCGGGAUUUAGUGACGCAGCUAACGCGUGAAGUUGACCGCCUGGGGAGUACGGCCGCAAGGUUAAAACUCAAAGGAAUUGACGG
This 916-nucleotide ribosomal RNA is filed under the name uncultured bacterium. RNAcentral describes it as "bacterial SSU rRNA". It matches the Rfam family "Bacterial small subunit ribosomal RNA", at positions 8 to 916 of the family's 1533-position model. The record is from RNAcentral.